This 881-nucleotide ribosomal RNA is filed under the name uncultured Rheinheimera sp. RNAcentral's name for it is "bacterial SSU rRNA". It matches the Rfam family "Bacterial small subunit ribosomal RNA", at positions 290 to 1163 of the family's 1533-position model. Lineage: Bacteria; Pseudomonadati; Pseudomonadota; Gammaproteobacteria; Chromatiales; Chromatiaceae. The record is from RNAcentral.
GUAUGAGAGGAUGAUCAGCCACACUGGAGCUGCGACACGGUCCAGAAUCCUACGGGAGGCAGCAGUGGGGAAUAUUGGACAAUGGGCGCAAGCCCGAUCCAGCCAUGCCGCGUGUGUGAAGAAGGCCUUCGGGUUGUAAAGCACUUUCAACGAGGAGGAAGGGUGGUGUGUUAAUAGCACAUCAUUUUGACGUUACUCGCAGAAGAAGCACCGGCUAACUCUGUGCCAGCAGCCGCGGUAAUACAGAGGGUGCAAGCGUUAAUCGGAAUUACUGGGCGUAAAGCGCACGUAGGCGGUUUUUUAAGUCAGAUGUGAAAGCCCCGGGCUCAACCUGGGAAUUGCAUUUGAAACUGGGAAACUAGAGUGUGUGAGAGGGGGGUAGAAUUCCAAGUGUAGCGGUGAAAUGCAUAGAGAUUUGGAGGAAUACCAGUGGCGAAGGCGGCCCCCUGGCACAACACUGACGCUCAGGUGCGAAAGCGUGGGGAGCAAACAGGAUUAGAUACCCUGGUAGUCCACGCCGUAAACGAUGUCUACUAGCUGUUCGUGACCUUGUGUUGUGAGUAGCGCAGCUAACGCACUAAGUAGACCGCCUGGGGAGUACGGUCGCAAGAUUAAAACUCAAAUGAAUUGACGGGGGCCCGCACAAGCGGUGGAGCAUGUGGUUUAAUUCGACGCAACGCGAAGAACCUUACCUACUCUUGACAUCUACGGAAGACUGCAGAGAUGCGGUUGUGCCUUCGGGAACCGUAAGACAGGUGCUGCAUGGCUGUCGUCAGCUCGUGUUGUGAAAUGUUGGGUUAAGUCCCGCAACGAGCGCAACCCCUAUCCUUAGUUGCCAGCGAUUCUUUUCGGGAACUCUAGGGAGACUGCCGGUGAUAUUU